This 500-nucleotide ribosomal RNA is filed under the name uncultured bacterium. RNAcentral describes it as "partial 16S ribosomal RNA". It matches the Rfam family "Bacterial small subunit ribosomal RNA", at positions 29 to 523 of the family's 1533-position model. The record is from RNAcentral.
AUUGAACGCUGGCGGCAUGCCUUACACAUGCAAGUCGAACGGCAGCGGGGACUUCGGUCCGCCGGCGAGUGGCGAACGGGUGAGUAAUGUAUCGGAACGUACCAUUGAGUGGGGGAUAGCGCAGCGAAAGCUGCGCUAAUACCGCAUACGAUCUGAGGAUGAAGGCGGGGGACCGUAAGGCCUCGCGCGAUCGGAGCGGCCGAUGUCAGAUUAGGUAGUUGGUGGGGUAAAGGCUCACCAAGCCGACGAUCUGUAGCUGGUCUGAGAGGACGACCAGCCACACUGGGACUGAGACACGGCCCAGACUCCUACGGGAGGCAGCAGUGGGGAAUUUUGGACAAUGGGCGAAAGCCUGAUCCAGCAAUGCCGCGUGCAGGAAGAAGGCCUUCGGGUUGUAAACUGCUUUUGUACGGAGCGAAAAGGCUCUCUCUAAUACAGGGGGCUCAUGACGGUACCGUAAGAAUAAGCACCGGCUAACUACGUGCCAGCAGCCGCCGUAA